CCUACGGGAGGCAGCAGUGGGGAAUAUUGGACAAUGGGGGGAACCCUGAUCCAGCCAUGCCGCGUGUGUGAAGAAGGCCCUCGGGUUGUAAAGCACUUUCAGUGAGGAAGAACGCCUGGUGGUUAAUACCCAUCAGGAAAGACAUCACUCACAGAAGAAGCACCGGCUACACUCCGUGCCAGCAGCCGCGGUAAUACGGAGGGUGCGAGCGUUAAUCGGAAUUACUGGGCGUAAAGCGCGCGUAGGUGGCUUGAUAAGCCGGUUGUGAAAGCCCCGGGCUCAACCUGGGAACGGCAUCCGGAACUGUCAAGCUAGAGUGAAGGAGAGGAAGGUAGAAUUCCCGGUGUAGCGGUGAAAUGCGUAGAGAUCGGGAGGAAUACCAGUGGCGAAGGCGGCCUUCUGGACUGACACUGACACUGAGGUGCGAAAGCGUGGGUAGCAAACAGGAUUAGAUACCCGUGUAGUC
RNAcentral lists this ribosomal RNA (466 nucleotides) under Vreelandella stevensii. RNAcentral's name for it is "partial 16S ribosomal RNA". It matches the Rfam family "Bacterial small subunit ribosomal RNA", at positions 338 to 795 of the family's 1533-position model. Lineage: Bacteria; Pseudomonadati; Pseudomonadota; Gammaproteobacteria; Oceanospirillales; Halomonadaceae. The record is from RNAcentral.